This is an RNA transcript of Asparagus officinalis (garden asparagus), 1381 nucleotides long. It is a transcript of the gene named CDT1-like protein a, chloroplastic, with no coding region annotated. NCBI's taxonomy places the organism in Eukaryota, Viridiplantae, Streptophyta, Magnoliopsida, Asparagales, Asparagaceae. The transcript has 4 exons. The record is from RefSeq and is a predicted model, not a curated record.
CUUACAUUCUCUUCAUACCAAAAAAUUGGUGGAAAAGAUAGGUUAAAAAAAUGGAGUCUAGACCCAAAUCCAAGAGCAAGAGGACUAACGAUGGCAAACCCUCAAUCCCUCUCGCAUCUCCGAUCAAAUCAAAACCCUCGACUUCCGCCUCCGAUCAGAUCUCGAUGCCGGAGAAGCCGAUCCAUGGUGCCCCUCGAACCCGCAAUCGGAGAAUGGCCUUAUCGAUCAAAGAAGUUAAGCAGAUCGCUCAAGGACUCCAUAGAAACACCAGACAGUCCUCGGAUCAAUCGGAUCUUGUGGGAUCCGAUACCGAACAGUUAGCGACAGAAGUUCGUAAGCCCUUGAGGGCUAAAACCCCCAUCAAGUUGCCGGAAAAGUGUGAGAUGUUGGCGGAGUUUUUUAAUUCCAUGGAGAGCUCGAUCCAAUUGCUUAGAAUGAAAGGAUCGCCGCCUACAUUUUCUAAUAUUUCUUCUAGCAUCCAGAAUAUGACUGAAAGGAGGUUUACAUGUUACUCUCCAAAUUGCCCGAGCUUCAUGUUACUCUCCAAAUUGCCUCAUUUGAGGAAACUGUGAAGGAGAAAGGAGAGAGUGGGUACUCGGUCUUGAGACGAGUGUUUAGAGAAAGGCUUGUGGAUUUUUCAAAGAGACACCCAUAGGGAGAUGACAUUCCGGAAGAGCAACUUCCGCAUCCAUUCAGCCAAACAAAGCAAACCAACAUUUCAAAUGAAUUAAGACACUACUCAACCAUCCCUCCAAUUAUUUCCUCAUCAGCCAAUGCUCAUUCUCAACAUGAACUCGCAGUACCUUCUCAUAUUUCUAGAUCUUUCCAAAGGAGAUUUUCUCAAAAAGUACCCAUCUCAGAUGCACAAAAAACUUCUCUCACAUGCCAUGACAGUUCACCUCCUAUAGACACUUCUCUCGAUCGACUCUAUCGCUCCAUCUCCUAUGAAACACGUUUCAAGACUGCCCUUAAGAAGGAAAUCAUUGCUUGGUUGCCCAAUUAUCUCUUCAUCAUCCAAGGCUCUUACAACUCGUGAAGAAGAAGAACCCAAAAUAGACAUAAUGCCUGAAAGCAUUUCUCAGAAAGAAGUAAAUGCUUUAGAGGGAACACCAGCCAAACUAAUUUGCACUCCAUCAAAGCUAAUGACUGCCACUCCAGAUAUUCAAACUCCAAAGAGACAACGUACAACCUCCAAUGGAUUGUGAUACCACACCACUGAAGAGGUCAACUAGGCGAUCGACUCAAACCAAAUUAUUAUUUAACACACCAAAAAAGAGUGCGACAAAAUUGGAUGAAGGAUGCUGAAACUAUUGCAAGAAUCGGUAUAACUCUUUCAUCAGUGGUUGAUGACGUUCUCCGUUUUCUACCUCAGUCUCUCUUG